This is a long non-coding RNA of Eptesicus fuscus (big brown bat), 317 nucleotides long. RefSeq lists it as uncharacterized. Lineage: Eukaryota; Metazoa; Chordata; Mammalia; Chiroptera; Vespertilionidae. The transcript is spliced from 3 exons. The record is from RefSeq and is a predicted model, not a curated record.
CUCAGGACAAAUGGGUAUAAACAUUGGACCAGACUCAUGGUCCCUGCCUCAAAGAGAUCACCUCUCUGGGUUGACACAGGCCACGGACUUUGCACCCCAUCCUCCGGAGAGAGUGAGUGUCUCUACCAAAGUCUUGAAGUUUCUCCUAAACCCAGGCUUGGGAUGCCCAUUCACCUUACCCCGUGAGAAGACCUGCCACUACAUGGAUCAGAUCCCAGAGACCACACAGUGAAUGGAGAAGGAAGAGUGGAAGACCAAGGUGGGGAACACAAGAUUUCUCAGAUUGAGCUGUGGGAGAAAGAAUAGUUUGAAUUGAA